GUUGUCAUAUAUAUCAUCUGAUGUGAAGGUGGAUGCCUCCCAUUGUAGAAGUGUCAGGGGCCAGCUCAACCUUCUCAUGGUUAGGUACAGGUGGCUCAUUUCCCGUGACCCAACUACACUAGUGCUCAGACCUUAGGGAUCAUAUCAAGAGCUGUAGAGGGAACUUGCUGUUAAGCUUAGGGAAAUUGUAUUGCUCAAAUGGCAGCUUGAUGACAUGCCGUGCAAGAAGAACUAAUUUAGUAUGUCUCUCUCACCCACAUAACAUAUUAUGUGACGUGGCACAAUUCGAUGACAGGAUAUUUUACAUACCUGUUUCAUUAGGAUAUAUUUGAUCUCUGACUAAAAUCUCUUUCAACAGGUAUGAACACCGCUUUUUAGAACUUUAUGUUCAUAUUCAAGUAUGGAAAUACUAUGGUUGGUUAGUUCUGUGACAUUUGAUUAUCUUUUAUGAAUUUCUUAUUGCCUCCAAGCUUAACUAACUUAACUAAAUGUAUUCACUAGGCAAAUAUGCAGGAACAACUUCGGCAGACUCGUGAAUUAUAUGCCACAUUUAAUGCAAUGUUGGAGAUAAAAGACUUGAUGCUAAAGGAGACUUCUAUGUUAAACUCUAUAAGUUCACAGGUAUAGGAACGGUUCUUUGAUAUCGUGGGUGUCGAAAAUAAAUAUGCAUUGACUCUUAAAAAAAAAGAUAUUGAAUAUCUUUUUUUCCGAUUUAAUCUCAUUAUCCAAAACAUACGUAGUCAAGGGUAUGAUGGUGCUAGCAAUAUACGUGGCAAAUGGAAUGGACUUCAAGCUUCAUUUCUCAAAGAUUGCCCAUAUGCAUAUUAUGUACAUUGCUUUGCACAUCGUUUGCAAUUGGCAUUUAUUGCGACAGUAAAAGAUGAGCCUAAUGGUUGGCAAUUUUUUUCUCACUUAAGUUGUAUUGUCAAUCUUGUUGCUUAUUCUCCAAA
Non-coding RNA from Camellia sinensis, 950 nucleotides. Lineage: Eukaryota; Viridiplantae; Streptophyta; Magnoliopsida; Ericales; Theaceae. The record is from RefSeq and is a predicted model, not a curated record.